UCCAGCCGGCUCAGGCCCUGGGGUGGGGGUGGGGGCGCCCAUUUUCAGGAUUGUGGAGCACAUGUGGCUGUAGGGGAGGUCUGUGUAUCGGGGGCUAGCUCAGGCUACGUGGUUGUCAGUUGCAAAUGUCGACUGUGUGUGACAUCACGGGGCUCCAUGCACCACUCACAGUAGGACAAAGCGGGGAGACAGACCUCCGCAGCAUAGCUAGAAUUACAACCCUAGACUAGAAUCCGGGACAGCGCACAGUAGGACCAGUCGGGGAGAUUGAUGUUCACAACGUAGCCAGAACGCAAACCGUGGACCACGCACAGUAGGACUAGUCUCACAGAUAGAUACCCGCAGCACAGUCACAGUUAGAACCAGGGACAGUGCACAGUAGGACCACUCAGAAGAUAGGUGUUCACAACACAGUUAGAAUCCAGGACAGUGAACAGUAGAACCAGUGGGGAGAUAGCCAUCCACAGCGUAGUCAGAGUUAGACCCCGAGAUGGCACACAGUAGGACCUGAAUUAGAACCCUAGACUGCACACAGUAGGGCAACUUGGGAAGACGGACAUUCUCAGCAUAGUCAGAAUGAGAACUCGUACAGCGCACACUAGGACCAUUUAGGAGAUAAAUGUCUGUAGCAUAGUCUGUUAAACCGCUAGAGAGCGCACAGUAGGACCAGUCAGGGAGACAGAUGUUUACAGCACAGUUAAGAUUAGAAUCCAAGACAGAGCACAGUAGGACGGAUUGGGAGAUAAAUGUCCACAGCAUAGUCAGAAUUAGAAGCUGGGACAGCACACAGUAGGACCAGUCAGGGACACAGACGUCUGCAGCAUAGUCAGAGUUAGACCCCUGGACAGCGUACAGUAGGACCAGGGUUAGAACCCUAGACCACGCACAGUAGGGCGACUUGGGGGGGAAGGACGUUCGCGGGCAGCGUAGUCCGAAUUAGAACCUUGGACAGCGCACAGUGGGGCAAGUUGGGAAGCUAGACAUUCAUACGGCGGUCAGGAUUGUGGCCCUACGCAGCGCACAGUAGGACCAGUCAGGAGAAAGACACCCGCAGUGUGGUCAGAGUUAGAGCCCUAGACCUCGCAUAGUAGGGCGACGUGGGCAGAUAAGACGCCUACAGCGUGGUCAGGGUUAGAACCCAGGACCCUGCUCGGCCCAAGCAGCUGACUAUGCGCACAGCAGUAGUUGACACUCACCCGGAAGUGAGGAAAAGGAGUUGGGGCAGAACCUGAGGCCGGAAUCCGAACUCACUGAGGUCUGGGGGGCGGGGCACGGGGGGUGACGACAUCUGGGAGGGCGGGACGGAGGGUGAUGGACAGAUGCACCCACAGACAGAGUGCAUCAUGGGAGAGGAAGAGACGGAAGGAUGGGUGUGUAGACGGAUGAUUGAUGGAUGCAUGGAUCGAUAGGUGGAUGAUUGACAGAUGGAUCGAUAGAUGGAUGAUUGACAGGUGGAUCGACAGAUGGAUAGAUGGAUGAUAAUACAUAGAUGACGAGUGGAUGAUUGAUAGAUGAUGGAUGGAUGGAUCAAUAGAUACAUUGAUAGGAUUGAUUGAUUGAUGACAGAUACAUAGAAACUGAUAGAUAAAAAUUGAUUGAUGAUAGGUAGAAAUUUGUUUAUUGACGAUUGAUACACAGAAAUUCUUUGAUAAUACAGAGAAAUUGUUUGAUGAUAAUAGAUACAUAGAACUUGAUUGAU
Nannospalax galili (Upper Galilee mountains blind mole rat) is the source of this 1699-nucleotide long non-coding RNA. RefSeq lists it as uncharacterized. Lineage: Eukaryota; Metazoa; Chordata; Mammalia; Rodentia; Spalacidae. The transcript has 2 exons. The record is from RefSeq and is a predicted model, not a curated record.